GACAGAGGCCUCAAGCGUUAGGCGGAAUCACUGGGCUUAAAGCGUGUGUAGGCGGAUCGUUAAGUGUCUUGUGAAAUCCCACGGCUCACCCGUGGAACUGCUGGGCAUACUGGCGAUCUUGGGCCAACUAGGGGCAACUGGAACAAGCGGUGGAGCGGUGAAAUGCGUAGAUAUCGUUUGGAACGCCAACGGUGAAACAGACAGCUGGGAGUGUGCUGACGCUGAGACACGAAAGCCAGGGAGGCGAACGGG
RNAcentral lists this ribosomal RNA (252 nucleotides) under uncultured bacterium. Its description in RNAcentral is "partial 16S ribosomal RNA". It matches the Rfam family "Bacterial small subunit ribosomal RNA", at positions 524 to 776 of the family's 1533-position model. The record is from RNAcentral.